Molecule: ribosomal RNA, 600 nt
Filed under: Drechslera euphorbiae
Lineage: Eukaryota; Fungi; Ascomycota; Dothideomycetes; Pleosporales; Pleosporaceae
Description: partial large subunit ribosomal RNA
Rfam family: Eukaryotic large subunit ribosomal RNA
Source: RNAcentral
GCAUAUCAAUAAGCGGAGGAAAAGAAACCAACAGGGAUUGCCCUAGUAACGGCGAGUGAAGCGGCAACAGCUCAAAUUUGAAAUCUGGCUCUUUCAGAGUCCGAGUUGUAAUUUGCAGAGGGCGCUUUGGCUUUGGCAGCGGUCCAAGUUCCUUGGAACAGGACGUCACAGAGGGUGAGAAUCCCGUACGUGGUCGCUAGCUAUUGCCGUGUAAAGCCCCUUCGACGAGUCGAGUUGUUUGGGAAUGCAGCUCUAAAUGGGAGGUAAAUUUCUUCUAAAGCUAAAUAUUGGCCAGAGACCGAUAGCGCACAAGUAGAGUGAUCGAAAGAUGAAAAGCACUUUGGAAAGAGAGUCAAACAGCACGUGAAAUUGUUGAAAGGGAAGCGCUUGCAGCCAGACUUGCUUGCAGUUGCUCAUCCGGGCUUUUGCCCGGUGCACUCUUCUGUAGGCAGGCCAGCAUCAGUUUGGGCGGUGGGAUAAAGGUCUCUGUCACGUACCUCUCUUCGGGGAGGCCUUAUAGGGGAGACGACAUACCACCAGCCUAGACUGAGGUCCGCGCAUCUGCUAGGAUGCUGGCGUAAUGGCUGUAAGCGGCCCGUC